GCGGCUGUAGCUCAGUGGAUAGAGUAGCUGACUACGAAUCAGCUGGUCACAAGUUCGAAUCUUGUCAGCCGCACCA
RNAcentral lists this transfer RNA (76 nucleotides) under Candidatus Sericytochromatia bacterium. RNAcentral describes it as "tRNA-Arg". It matches the Rfam family "tRNA". From Rfam's summary of the family: Transfer RNA (tRNA) molecules are approximately 80 nucleotides in length. The record is from RNAcentral. Lineage: Bacteria; Bacillati; Candidatus Sericytochromatia.